UGGGGAAUUUUGGACAAUGGGGGAAACCCUGAUCCAGCCAUCCCGCGUGUGCGAUGAAGGCCUUCGGGUUGUAAAGCACUUUUGGCAGGAAAGAAACGUCAUGGGUUAAUACCCCGUGAAACUGACGGUACCUUCAGAAUAAGCACCGGCUAACUACGUGCCAGCAGCCGCGGUAAUACGUAGGGUGCAAGCGUUAAUCGGAAUUACUGGGCGUAAAGCGUGCGCAGGCGGUUCGGAAAGAAAGAUGUGAAAUCCCAGAGCUCAACUUUGGAACUGCAUUUCUAACUACCGGGCUCGAGUGUGUCAGAGGGAGGUGGAAUUCCGCGUGUAGCAGUGAAAUGCGUAGGUAUGCGGAGGAACACCGAUGGCGAAGGCAGCCUCCUGGGAUAACACUGACGCUCAUGCACGAAAGCGUGGGGAGCAAACAGG
Molecule: ribosomal RNA, 429 nt
Filed under: Acidobacteriota bacterium
Lineage: Bacteria; Pseudomonadati; Acidobacteriota
Description: Acidobacteria bacterium partial 16S ribosomal RNA
Rfam family: Bacterial small subunit ribosomal RNA
Source: RNAcentral